RNAcentral lists this unclassified non-coding RNA (561 nucleotides) under Caenorhabditis elegans. Its description in RNAcentral is "Non-coding transcript of protein-coding gene F52D1.2e". The record is from RNAcentral. Lineage: Eukaryota; Metazoa; Nematoda; Chromadorea; Rhabditida; Rhabditidae.
GUUUGAACAAUUUUUUGCGUUUUAGUUGAGAAACCAAUAUACGGAACAUUAGAGAACAAAAUGACGAAUUCUGGAAAAAUGCCGAAAAAGAAGACAAUGUUCAAAAAGAUUGGCAGUUUUUUGAAGAUGAGGCAAAAUGAAGAAGACAGGUUUUCGGGAAAAUCAUUGUUUUCCAUAGAAAAUGAAAAUCAUAUCGAAUAUGCGUCUGUUUCAAAUGAGGAUUACGAUAUGAACCCGGCAAUGGAUUUAAUCCAUGAGGAUCUUGCAAGAGCGAGUCUUCUUACCGACUUUAACACAAAAAUUGACGAAUUUGAGCACGGCUUCGUCAACCUGGGAUAUGUUGAGAAGAUGAACAACACCACCAAGUCAAAAAACUUAUCCGGAGAUUUUCAGCGUCCGCGUCUAAGUCGACAGAACGCGGUUGUUCAAGAACGAGAUUCAAACUCAGCUAUGGAAAAAAUAAAGACAAAGUCUUGUGACACUGAAACUUCUCCAGUUGCCAAGUCACCAUCAAGUAAUAUGAGUUCUGCAAAAGAAGAACGGAUUAUCAAAAUUGAUUAG